RNAcentral lists this transfer RNA (71 nucleotides) under Cricetulus griseus (Chinese hamster). It matches the Rfam family "tRNA". Rfam says of the family: Transfer RNA (tRNA) molecules are approximately 80 nucleotides in length. Their secondary structure includes four short double-helical elements and three loops (D, anti-codon, and T loops). The record is from Rfam by way of RNAcentral. Lineage: Eukaryota; Metazoa; Chordata; Mammalia; Rodentia; Cricetidae.
GGAGAUGUGGCUCAGUGGUAGAGCUUUCACCUAGCACAGGCAGGAACUGGGUUCAAGGCCCAGCAUCACCA